CUUGGUCAUUUAGAGGAAGUAAAAGUCGUAACAAGGUUUCCGUAGGUGAACCUGCGGAAGGAUCAUUAGUGAAUUUUAGGGUGCCCUCUCGCCUAACUCCUUUAACUGGGUUGGCGUCAGAGGGGCCUGACCUCCACUUUCUACCCUGUGCACUAUUUCUAAAGGCGUUCAGAUUGAUGUUUGAAAGAACGUCGGUCUGAAACCUUUUCAAUUCAUAAACACGAGUCAAAGAAUGUAUUAUAAAAUCAUAACAAAAAAAAACUUUCAACAACGGAUCUCUUGGUUCUGGCAUCGAUGAAGAACGCAGCGAAAUGCGAUACGUAAUGUGAAUUGCAGAUUUCAGUGAAUCAUCGAAUCUUUGAACGCACAUUGCGCCCGCCAGUAUUCUGGCGGGCAUGCCUGUUCGAGCGUCAUUUCAACCAUCAAGCGCCUCGCUUGUGUUGGGGCCCUGCGGCUGCCGCAGGCCCCCAAAUCCAGUGGCGGGCUCGUCGUCGUACCGAGUGCAGUAAACAUCCUCGCUCAGGGAACCCGACGGGUGCCGGCCGUGAAACCCCCCCUCCUUAAGGUUGACCUCGGAUCAGGUAGGAAUACCCGCUGAACUUAAGCAUAUCAAUAAGCGGAGGAAAAGAAACCAACAGGGAUUGCCCCAGUAACGGCGAGUGAAGCGGCAACAGCUCAAAUUUGAAAUCUGGCCUCGGCCCGAGUUGUAAUUUGCAGAGGAAGCUUCUGGUGCGGCGCCGUCCGAGUCUCCUGGAACGGAGCGCCAUAGAGGGUGAGAGCCCCGUAUGGACGGACGCCAAACCUGUGUGAAGCUCCUUCGACGAGUCGAGUUGUUUGGGAAU
This 842-nucleotide small RNA is filed under the name uncultured Lecythophora. Its description in RNAcentral is "eukaryotic LSU rRNA". The stretch from base 568 to 842 matches the Rfam family "Eukaryotic large subunit ribosomal RNA", at positions 1 to 281 of the family's 3401-position model. Lineage: Eukaryota; Fungi; Ascomycota; Sordariomycetes; Coniochaetales. The record is from RNAcentral.